UCAAACUUGGUCAUUUAGAGGAAGUAAAAGUCGUAACAAGGUCUCCGUAGGUGAACCUGCGGAGGGAUCAUCAAAGGAUUUUCUUAAGAAAAAAAAGAGACGACUUGUCUCUUUUUUUUCUCCAAACAAACGAUCACAACUAUUGAAAGAAUGCAAGGUUUUUCGAGGGGAUUGAUUGAUUUGGUGGAAACAAACAAGUGUUUGCCUGAUAAUCUGAUGGUUGGAAAGAGAAAAGAAAUACAACUUUCAACAACGGAUCUCUUGGCUCUCACAUCGAUGAAGAACGCAGC
This 290-nucleotide unclassified non-coding RNA is filed under the name uncultured fungus. RNAcentral describes it as "partial contains small subunit ribosomal RNA, internal transcribed spacer 1, and 5.8S ribosomal RNA". The stretch from base 1 to 73 matches the Rfam family "Eukaryotic small subunit ribosomal RNA", at positions 1759 to 1831 of the family's 1831-position model. Lineage: Eukaryota; Fungi. The record is from RNAcentral.